CACCAGCGCCACGAGUGGCUAUCACGAUUAUUGGGCCUAAAGCGUCCGUAGUCGGUCUUGUGCAUCUUCUGUGAAAUCGUUGCGCUUAACGUAACGGCAUGCGGAAGACACGGCAAGGCUUGAGAGCGGGAGGCGUGUAGGGUACUCCGGGGGGACCGGUAAAAUGGUAUAAUCCCCGGAAGACCACCUGUGGCGAAGGCGCUACACGAGAACGCAUCUGACGAUGAGGGACGAAAGCCAGGGGAGCAAACCG
Molecule: ribosomal RNA, 253 nt
Filed under: uncultured archaeon
Lineage: Archaea
Description: partial 16S ribosomal RNA
Rfam family: Archaeal small subunit ribosomal RNA
Source: RNAcentral